UACAGAGGGUGCGAGCGUUAAUCGGAAUUACUGGGCGUAAAGCGCACGUAGGCGGCUUGGCAAGUCGGGUGUGAAAUCCCCGGGCUCAACCUGGGAACUGCAUUCGAGACUGCCUUGCUAGAGUAUGGGAGAGGGAAGUGGAAUUUCCGGUGUAGCGGUGAAAUGCGUAGAUAUCGGAAGGAACAUCAGUGGCGAAGGCGACUUCCUGGACCAAUACUGACACUCAGGUGCGAAAGCGUGGGGAGCAAACAGG
Molecule: ribosomal RNA, 253 nt
Filed under: uncultured bacterium
Lineage: Bacteria
Description: partial 16S ribosomal RNA
Rfam family: Bacterial small subunit ribosomal RNA
Source: RNAcentral